UACAGAGGCCUCGAGCGUUAGGCGGAAUCACUGGGCUUAAAGCGUGUGUAGGCGGACUUCUAAGUGCCUUGUGAAAUCCCACGGCUCACCCGUGGAACUGCUUGGUAUACUGGUUGUCUUGAGCCUUCUAGGGGCGAGUGGAACAAAUGGUGGAGCGGUGAAAUGCGUAGAUAUCAUUUGGAACGCCAAUGGUGAAAACAACUCGCUGGGGAAGUGCUGACGCUGAGACACGAAAGCCAGGGGAGCGAACGGG
Molecule: ribosomal RNA, 253 nt
Filed under: uncultured bacterium
Lineage: Bacteria
Description: partial 16S ribosomal RNA
Rfam family: Bacterial small subunit ribosomal RNA
Source: RNAcentral